Non-coding RNA from Pteropus alecto (black flying fox), 107 nucleotides. Lineage: Eukaryota; Metazoa; Chordata; Mammalia; Chiroptera; Pteropodidae. The record is from Rfam.
GUGCUUGCUUCAGCAACACAUAUACCAAAAUUGGAACGAUACUGAGAAGAUUAGCAUAGCCCUUGAGCAAGGAUGACAUGCAAACUUGUGAGGCAUUUCAUACUUUA